Molecule: long non-coding RNA, 152 nt
Organism: Microtus oregoni (creeping vole)
Lineage: Eukaryota; Metazoa; Chordata; Mammalia; Rodentia; Cricetidae
Exons: 3
Source: RefSeq, a predicted model, not a curated record
CUUCCUGUUCUCUGGGGGAACCGUGGUACUAGACCUGAACUAGAUUCCAGCACCCACACAUAUGCUGACAACCAUCUGGAACACCAAUUCCAGGAGAUUGAAUGCUGUCUUGGAUGUUUGUGGGCAGCACACACAAGAACCUACAUCUGGCA